UACGGAGGGUGCAAGCGUUGUUCGGAUUUAUUGGGCGUAAGGCGCGUGUAGGCGGUUUCUUAAGUCUGAUGUGAAAGCCCCGGGCUUAACCUGGGAAUGGCGGUUGAAACUAGUCGACUCGAAUCUGGCAGAGGGGGGUGGAAUUCCACGUGUAGCAGUGAAAUGCGUAGAGAUGUGGAGGAACACCGAUGGCGAAGGCAGCCCCCUGGGCUGAGAUUGACGCUCAGGCACGAAAGCGUGGGGAGCAAACAGG
This 253-nucleotide ribosomal RNA is filed under the name uncultured bacterium. Its description in RNAcentral is "partial 16S ribosomal RNA". It matches the Rfam family "Bacterial small subunit ribosomal RNA", at positions 524 to 776 of the family's 1533-position model. The record is from RNAcentral.